This 253-nucleotide ribosomal RNA is filed under the name uncultured bacterium. RNAcentral describes it as "partial 16S ribosomal RNA". It matches the Rfam family "Bacterial small subunit ribosomal RNA", at positions 524 to 776 of the family's 1533-position model. The record is from RNAcentral.
GACGAACCGUGCAAGCGUUAUCCGGAUUCACUGGGUUUAAAGGGUGCGUAGGCGGGCAGGUAAGUCAGAGGUGAAAUCUCCGGGCUUAACCCGGAAACUGCCUUUGAUACUAUCUGUCUUGAAUAUGGUGGAGGUAAGCGGAAUAUGUCAUGUAGCGGUGAAAUGCUUAGAGAUGACAUAGAACACCUAUUGCGAAGGCAGCUUACUACGCCUAUAUUGACGCUGAGGCACGAAAGCGUGGGGAUCAAACAGG